AGUGUGAUUCAUCCCUGGUGGGAAUUGACAGUCGCUUUCAUUUUCUUACAUUUUUUUUUUCCCUCUGCCAAGGUCACAGUGAAGAGAGCCUCGAAGUUCUCAGCAUUCGUCCUCCUUCACCCUUCCACCAGCUCUUGGUCAUGAAUCAUUCCGUCUUCAGAUUGAACUCCUGAUGCUUCGGUUCCAGAAAACAGCCCGACUUCCGCAAUUUUUCUUCAUUCUCACUAACAAUUUGGCUGGAGGUACUUCAGUCAAAUUCUAACUACGCAUUCAUACCUUGUGAUGUAUUAAUUUGACAUAUUUGUCACACAGCUGCCCGAACAGAAUGAAAGGAGGUUGUGUGCUAAAGAAAUUCUACAUGAUGUUAGCCACUAUGGCAACAUUACCGACUACAGCUUGAUCUCUUCACAAUUUCAAAGGUGGGAGAACUGACCGCUAUCGCUGAUAAAACUCACAAACUUUAUUGGAAUUCAGAAGAUUGUUAAAUAAGUCGACAGUCAGCCUGCCUCCCUGGGACUCAUCGUGGUUUGAAGACUUUGAAAAGGAAGGAAGCGACACCUUUAUAGUUCAUCCAGAAAUAAUUUGCAAACAGAAACUAGACAGUGAGCUGUGUGUACUAACAGUUGCUUCAAGGUCAUAUCAACAUUGAAGCCUGUUGGCUACAGAUAAAGCAGUAACACUCCCCCUGUCCAGCUGCCUGUUUCUUCGGCCCAAACAUUUUGAACUGUAAAUUGUCGAUGUAUUUUUUUUAUAUUUUAGUUUUGUUUAGCUGAAAACCGCAGUGCUGUAAAUUAUUGCUUUCCUUCAACUUUCUAAUACAGCUAUAAUUUCUCAGA
Non-coding RNA from Chiloscyllium plagiosum (whitespotted bambooshark), 836 nucleotides. The record is from RefSeq and is a predicted model, not a curated record. Lineage: Eukaryota; Metazoa; Chordata; Chondrichthyes; Orectolobiformes; Hemiscylliidae.